GAUGAAAAAAUUUCAUUGGAUGAGUAGAUAAUUCGUGGCCAAAAGUAUCGCAAUUUGUAUUUCCGUGCAUCAACAACGCGAAUCCAUCAUCUGGAGUCAUCGAGCUCGUUGUGCACACUUACGCAGGCAGUACUCUCCUUCCAUAUUGUCUCUCGCGUUUGAAAAAGUAAGGUAAAUCAUACAUAGAUAGCUUACGCAACUACACCCGAGAGAAGAUGGGCUACUAGGGAGAACUUCACUGGCUGAGGAAACCUACUUACCUACCACUUAGAGAGUAAGUUGAGAUCGGUAAGAGUCAUAUAUGAUAGCCGCAGAGAGUCAGAAACAACAGCCACAUGGUAAAUGAAGUGCGUAUGGGCAAUCCGUUGCAAUCCACUUACUCUCCAUCGCUCUUUCUUGUAUAUACUCUUCGGCCGCCAGUCUGGGGAACUUGAAGUCAAGGAUUGACCUGACGGUCUGAUUCGCCACUUACCACAUGUAACAUCGAUGUUUGUUCAUCUUGCCUUCACCUUUCGGCGAAUCCUUCCCUUUUCCCCCUCAGAUACUGAUGUCCACCAUGAGCACGCGCCGAUAGGCUGGUACGUUUAACGUAUCGACGUACCAAUGGAUCAACGUAUCAGCACAGUGAAGCGAGCGGCUUGCCGCUUGGCCGAAGUCGUCACACAACCCGUUGAUGAGGCUGGCUGAGUUAGCUGAAGCGACGGCCUUUUCAAUGAUAGAGCGUUGUCAAUCAAUCGAGACCACUAUGAAGAAGUAAUCUAUGUUUUUCUUCAAAGAGGUCGAACAAUCGUCCAGUCAAGCUUAAAGUUUCUCACAUAGAGGCGUGAGGUGUAGAUCGUGCUCUGGGUCGCCAACCCUUAGCAAAAUGGACACUCAUUCCCAGACUAACUGAACUGAACGACUUUUAAAGGACAAGAAAUAGAAUCUUCUCAUCAUCAGUAUGUCCCAUGGAGUGUUGCUCUUUACUUCCUCGUGUUCCACGAGAUAUGGAGGCCUAAAGGACCAAAAGCCGACGCUCAAUUUCGGUCUCAGCCGGCUUAGUCGGUAUUAGACAGUCCAGGUGAAAUGUACGGUAGGUAUUUCGCACAUCAGCCCCUCUGUGGACUUGAACAGCGAACAAAACUGUACCAUACGCUCCAUAGCCCUUCUGCCUGAUCAUGAACGAUCCAGCUGCCGCCCAAAUCUCGCUCAUGGAUGCCGCGCACUGUCACGAGGACAACCUCAGUCGGGGAAAAGAUGAAUGAAGGAGGGUAGAAGUGGUGACGGAUAUUCCGAAAGAUUGCAUGUGCGGCUCUAGGCCCUCUUAAGCCACCCGGUGGCUACCUGACGUGCCCUCCUCUUGGGCCCAUGGAACGCCUCUCGAACCAGUUGCCCAGGACACCACCAAAAAACACAAACUUCCCAGAGGGUGGCAGCAUUAGCGAACGUUGGCAACCGAAGUCGUUCAUAAUAGGUUGGAGGGUUUUGUGGGCUUAUAAGGCGGCGUGCCACACCACCAAGCCGAAGCUGUCAAAGCUGGUUACCCAUCAAAACCAUUGGUGUCGAGGGUAUCAUCCACUCAGCCGGCGAUUCUGGAAUGGGAAGCGGUCAGGCCUGGUAUUUGGGACUACCAACACAACAUCGAGGAUGAGUAAAACAAUUGCCCAUCAAAUUUCGGAGAGGGCUUCCGAGCCACUUAUGGAGGAAUGGCUCCAUUUGGUUUAUCGUUAUUGUCCUGCAAUGACGGCAGCCUUUUCGACAAAUCUGACAGGUUCUAAGCAAUCAGCGAUAUGCUGCAGCUCAAGUUCGGACGAUCCGUGAGACGUAAUAUGGUGUUGUGGGUAAGUUCACACCCAUAGUCAGGUCGUUGAAGACACAGUGCCCACGAAGCUUUGGCUGUGGUAGUCCGUGCAAGGUUUCUGAAAAUUGGAGGUCUUACUUUUGCUCGCAACCCAGUACAUUAGCUCGAAGAGCGAGGUCGUCGUGGUGUUAUCAUGGCCGAUCUCAUUGAACUAGGGCUGCACCGCCAAGACACCAUCUGGUGUGAACCGCGGGAGGCCUUGGAAGGGAAUGUACCAUACAGUGUAGACGCGUCGUGGAGGUUAAGUGAUCUUCUCGUCCAUGGUCUCACCUGCUGCAUUCACAAGUCCUUUUCAACCCCAAAUUCCUGCAAGGGAGAGAGAUAAUAUAUUAACAGCUCGCUUGCCCCUUCACGAUUUCAUUUCUUGUUCCUGCUCCCAAUUGCUUUACCAUACUCGAGAACAUGCCGGGCGACAACAAGGACGAUUUGGAGAGAGGUGGAAGGGAGGCACAGUCGAAAACAAAACCAACACGCUCGCCACUUAGCUUGCUCGAGGGCUCGGUCGAAUCACUGACGCGCUGUUUGAGUCGGUCAUCUAAAGAACCCAAACCCGUAGCAGAGACACCAGGCAAAAAAUAUGUCCAUACGCCGACCCACGCAGCCGCUUCGCAUCUCAAGACAACCAGGACGAGAAACAUGGACCAGGCAAACGAAGUCCUUUGACCAUAUCAAUGGGCAAGACGCGAAAAACCUUGGGCAUCUUUUGUGGAGCACGAUGUUGACGAGGCAGGCUACACCCUCAAAGCACGAGACACCGCCUCGGGUUUGGGUCCACACAACAAGCCUGGUCCAGAAUGCUUUUCUGCGCAGAAACUGGGCGAGCGCCGAGUGAGUCCGCCCAGGCCGAGUUACAGGAGGCGAGAGACUUCAAGCGACCUGGUCCAAGAUAUGACGGUAAAUGGCAGACGGCGAGUUUUCAGAUUCGUGAUUGGUGGAAAGAUGUGAUCGGGGAGUAUCGGACCCGCUGUAGGGGGAGCAUGGUUCGAUUGGAAGCGGAAAUACGACUGAAGCAGGUGAUGGUGAUGUUAUCCCAACUCUUGGACCCCAAGGCAAUAGAAGACUCGA
Molecule: non-coding RNA, 2905 nt
Organism: Neurospora crassa OR74A
Lineage: Eukaryota; Fungi; Ascomycota; Sordariomycetes; Sordariales; Sordariaceae
Source: RefSeq, a predicted model, not a curated record